RNAcentral lists this long non-coding RNA (1112 nucleotides) under Triticum aestivum (bread wheat). Its description in RNAcentral is "long non-coding RNA (TAES_LNC018107)". The record is from RNAcentral. Lineage: Eukaryota; Viridiplantae; Streptophyta; Magnoliopsida; Poales; Poaceae.
CCAAAAGAAGAACGGAGGGGGGCCGACAUUUAACUGAUGGCACGAUACCAGCCUUCAAUGGUGAGAGGCAGCCCCUACACUUCUCCAUCGCACCAAAAAAUGUUUCUGUAGUCUGAAUAAUCGGUCAAUUUUUCCCCUUGGCAUAUGUUUUGAAGGAAAAUUCAUCCUCAGAUCGGAUGUGUUUUUUAUCCACCCAUCUUACUGUUUUCUCUUUCAUUGUACCAUGAUACAAGCAGGACAUCCCCGCGCGCAGCAAGGAGGAGAAUGAUGACGAAGGGACCAUAGCUAUCCCUCGCGUAUCGGAUUUCUCUAUCCUGAGUCGAUGUACCGCAACUUUGCUGUCAACAUAACGAAGGGACGUCUAGUUCACAUGAGGCUUUGCGAAGCAUGGGUGGAUACGAAUGGCGACUUCCCUAGAGAGAUACAACUAUGGACCGAAAGAUGUGCCUGGGGCGUGGAGCUGGUGAAAGAUGGGGACUUUCUCCAUCUGAAGAAAGGAUGGCGUGGGUUCACAGAGGAGCACGGCGUGAAGGUAGGGGAUGUCGUCCACUUCCAAAUAGUCACCCCGUCUGCAUGGGUUCUCCGCAUCAAAGCACCGAACAGAGAGAUUAGAUGCCCGCGCAGCCACUGAGUUGGUAUUUGCUUUUGUUGCCUGGCUUUUCCGGGGGCAUGGUUGCUAGUUGAUGUGUCCCUAAGAUCAGAAAGAGGAUAUCAUUUUGAACUGUUUUUAGCGCAGUACUUGUUAGGCCACAAAAAGCACACUCAAAACACAUCCUCCCCUCCGACUGCCCAUGAACCUGCGGAGCAGCGAGCAUACAAAAAGUGCGACCCCCUUUCGUGUGUAUCAAGUAACCUCCGUUCGGCUCCCUCCGUUUACACUGGUUUUGUAUGCAUGUUUUUUGUAUGUGGCCUUUAGAAAGAAAUGUUUAUGGAAGUACAAGACUGAACGUAUAAAAAGGUUAAAUUCAUUAAACCAGGCAUUUUUUUUCCGGGGGAGAUGUGAUCCCUACAUUCUCUAGCUUAGUACUCCCUCCGUUCCUAAAUACUUGUCUUUCUAGUCAUUUCAAAUGACUAUCACAUACGGAUGUAUGUAGACAUAUUUUAAAGUGUAG